UCAUAGAGGAGUUUGGUAAAGUAGCAGGAUACAAAGUCAACGCUCAGAAAUCAACAGCCUUUGUAUAUACAGAUAAUGCUGUGGCUGAGGAAGAACUUCUAAGAUCAAUCCCAUUCACAAUAUCCACAAAAACAAUAAAGUACCUUGGAAUAAAUUUGACCAAGGAUGUCAAAGACCUCUAUGAUGAAAAUUACAAACACUAAAGAAAGAAAUAGAAGACGACACAAAAAAAUGGAAAAACCUGCCAUGCUUAUGGAUUGGAAGAAUCAAUAUCAUCAAAAUGUCCAUUCCCCCUACAAGUUUAAUGCAAUACCAAUCAAAAUACCAAAGUCAUUCUUCAAAGACCUAGAAAAAACAAUGCUGAAAUUCAUAUGGAGACACAGGAGACCUCGAAUAGCUAAAGCAAUACUUUAUAAUAAAAACAAAGCUGGAGGCAUCACAAUUCCAGACUUUAAGAAAUACUGCAGGGCAGUUAUAAUCAAAACAGCCUGGUACUGGUACAAAAACAGAUGGAUAGACCAAUGGAACAGAAUAAAAACACCGGAGAUCAAUCCAAACAUCUAUAACCAACUCAUAUUCGACAAAGGACCUAAAACCAACCCCUGGAACAAGGACAGCCUCUUCAACAAAUGGUGCUGGGAAAACUGGAUGUCCACAUGUCAAAGUAUGAAGCAAGACCCCUACCUUACACCUUAUACAAAAAUCCAUUGAACAUGGAUCAAAGAACUAGAGUUGCGCCACAACACCGUGAAACUAAUUGAUAGCAUAGGGGAAACCCUCCAAGAUACUGGAACAGGCAAAGAAUUCCUGGAGAAGACCCCAGAGGCACCGGUAAUCAAAGAUAAAAUAAACAAAUGGGAUUACCUCAAAUUGAAAAGUCUUCUUUACAGCAAAGGAAACAGUCAGGAAAGUGAAGAGGCAACCAACAAAAUGGGAGGCGUUAUUCGCAAACUACACAACAGAUAAAGUAUUAACAACUAAAAUCUAUAAAAUGAUCAAGAAACACCACAGAAUCAAAACAAACAACCCAAUAAAAGAUGGGCCAAGGACCUUAACAGACAUUUUUCAAAAGAGGAAAUCCAAAUGGCCAACAAACACAUGAAAAAAUGCUCAGGAUCACUAGCCAUAAGGGAAAUGCAGAUCAAAACCACAAUGAGGUUUCACCUCACUCCAGUUAGAUUGGCUUACAUACAGAAAUCAACCACCAACAUAUGCUGGUGAGGAUGUGGGGAAAAAGGGACAUUAAUCCACUGUUGGUGGGAAUGCAAACUGGUAAAGCCACUAUGGAUAACAGUUUGGAGAGUCCUCAGAAAUCUGAAUGUAACAUUAGCACAGGACCCAGCCAUCCCACUCCUUGGAAUUUACCCAAAUGGAAUUAAAGGGGAGAAAAAAAGAGCCAUUUGCACCUCCAUAUUUGUUGCAGCUCAAUUCACAAUAGCUAAGACAUGGAAGCAACCUAAAUGUCCAUCAAUGGAUGACUGGAUAAAGAAACUAUGGGAUAUGUACUCUCUGGAACACUAUACAGCAGUAAAAAACAAUGAAAUACGGGCAUUUACAAAAAAAUGGAGGAAGCUGGAAAAUAUCAUCCUGAGUGAUGUAAGCCAGUCCAAAAGGGACAAAUAUCAUAUGUUCUCCCUGAUCGAUGGCAACUAAACGAGCAUCUAAAAUGAUACCCAUUGAAGUGAAAUGGACAUUAUUAGAGAAUGACUUGAUCAGCCCUUGUCUAGACUGUUGAGGAACAACUGACUAUUUUAUUCCUUUUAGUAUUUUUGUUGUUGUUGUUGUUGUUGCUUUGUUUGUUCUUACUUAAUACCACUUGUUGAACUUUGUAAUCAAUGCACAAUCAUUCUUAGGUGUUUAAAAAUUAACAGAAAAGUGAUCUAUGUUAAACAUAGGAGUGGGAAUAAGAGAGGGAGGAGAUAUAUAGGUUGGCACAGGCUCACUCUGACUUACCUCCAAUGGUGGAACUAGAAAUGUGCCAAGGGAUUUCAACUCAAUCUUAUCAAGGAGGCAUGUACCAAUGCCAGCACACUUGGUAAAGUGAUAAGUAUAAGUACACAACCGAUCAAAAACAUAGGGAAAGUGUCAAAGAGAUUUUACAAACAAGACCAGUGUAAGCAAAUAAUGAAGGAUAGAAUUAUAAGGGAGAGAAUGAUCCUGCAGGGGAAGCAGGACAUACAGAAGACUCAUAGAAUGGCAAACGCCCAAAACAGCACUACGGCCUCAGAAUCAACCCUUGGGGCAUUCAGAUCUGGCUAAAAGGCCCAUGAGAGUCUCACAGGCAUGGAACAAUGGCAAAAACAAUCUAAAUGAAAGAUCCUGGUGAACAAGACCCCAGCAGAAGGAACAGGCCAUCAAGGAGGGAGGCACCUUUCUCUGAAUGGAGGAAGGAACCUCCACUGUGAUAUGGCCUUGACUAAAUAAGUUCACAGUUGGUGAACUCAAGGGGCUUCCAUAGCCUAGACAGCUCAUGGCAAGAGCCUCGGGUGAUUGCUGACGUCAUAAAUAAGAAUGCCAAUUGUUAAAUCAACAAUGGUUUUCACUGGGUACAGGCUCCCCAAGUAGGAUCUCUGUCCUUAAUGUAUUUUACUAUGAAACUUAAAAACAACACUACUAGUCGAACAAUACCCUAAACCUUGUGUGGUUGUGUGAGGGCAGCCUGUUGAAAUCCUUCCUUAGUUUAUACUAAAUUGAUCUUCUGUAUAUGAAGCCUGUGUGAGAAUGCAGCAUCCUCACAGCCAGCAGAUCUCAAGGUAUGGAUCAAGGACCACUUAGAAUCCCCAAGAACUUGCCAGAGCAUUCCAAAGGUUGUAUCAGUGGUGGCUAGGAAGCAUUCCCUUGGAGAGGCUUCAAUACAUCCAGAUUGUUGUGCCCCACCCCAUCUCUAGAGUUUCUGAUUCAGCAGACCUUCAGUGGAGUUUAAGAAUUGUACAGUAACUCUACAAUGUAUUAGCCUAGCAAAGACUUCCUGGGUAAGAUCCCAGAACUACUGGCAAUAAAAGCAAAAAUAGGCAAUUCAUAUCUUUACAUCAAGCUAAGAAGCUUCUGCACAGCAAAGCAAACAAUUAACAAAAUGAAAAGACAACAGACAGAAUGAGUGGUAAUAUUUGCAAACUGCAUCCAGUAAAAGAUUAGUAUCCAGAAUAUGUAAGUAGAUCUAGAAACUCAAAAGCAACAAAGCAAACAACCAAGUUAAGGAAUGGGCAAUGAUAUGAGCAGACAUUGCUCAAAGAAAUCAAAUGUCAACAUUCACAUGAAAAAAAUGCUCAAGAUCACUAGCCACCAGGGAAACACAAAUAAAAGCCACAAUGUUUCACAUAAACCCAGUUAGAAUGGCUAUCAUCCAAAAAUUGAAAAAAAAAAAAAUGAAUGUUGGUGAGACUGUGGAGAACAUGUACUGUUAUACAUUGUUACAACCACCCUGAAAAACUGUAUGGAGAUUCCUCAGAAAGCUAAAAAUAGAUCCUCUCUUGACCCAUAUCCAAAUCCUGGAAAUAUCCAAAGCAAAUAUCUAAAUAUUCAGAUAGCAUACGGAAAUAGCAUUUGGAAAUACCCCAUCAGCAUAUGAAAGAGGUAACUGAAAUUCCAUGUUCAUAGUAGCGCAAUUCAAUAGCAGUAAUGUGGAAUCAAUUUAGGUGUCCAUCAACUGAUGAUUAGAUAAAGAAAAUGAUAUAUAUAUAUAUAUAUAUAUACACACAUGAUGGAAUAUUAUUCAGCCAUGAAGAGGAAGAAAUUCUGAGAUAUGUAACAAAGUUGUUGGAACUGGAAAUCAUUAUGCUAAGUGACAUAAGCCAGACCCAGAAAAAUAAAUAUUACAUGUCAUCUGUUAUUU
This is a non-coding RNA of Oryctolagus cuniculus (rabbit), 3832 nucleotides long. The record is from RefSeq and is a predicted model, not a curated record. NCBI's taxonomy places the organism in Eukaryota, Metazoa, Chordata, Mammalia, Lagomorpha, Leporidae.